GCUACGUGGGGCAGCAGUGAGGAAUAUUGGUCAAUGGACGAGAGUCUGAACCAGCCAAGUAGCGUGAAGGAUGACUGCCCUAUGGGUUGUAAACUUCUUUUAUAUGGGAAUAAAACGUUCCACGUGUGGGAUUUUGUAUGUACCAUAUGAAUAAGGAUCGGCUAACUCCGUGCCAGUAGCCGCGGUAAUACGGAGGAGCCGAGCGUUAUCCGGAUUUAUUUGGUUUAAAGGGAGCGUAGGUGGAUUGUUAAGUCAGUUGUGAAAGUUUGCGGCUCAACCGUAAAAUUGCAGUUGAAACUGGCAGUCUUGAGUACAGUAGAGGUGGGCGGAAUUCGUGGUGUAGCGGUGAAAUGCUUAGAUAUCACGAAGAACUCCGAUUGCGAAGGCAGUUCACUGGACUGCAACUGACACUGAGGCUCGAAAGUGUGGGUAUCAAACAGGAUUAGAUACCCUAGUAGUC
This 460-nucleotide ribosomal RNA is filed under the name uncultured bacterium. RNAcentral's name for it is "partial 16S ribosomal RNA". It matches the Rfam family "Bacterial small subunit ribosomal RNA", at positions 338 to 795 of the family's 1533-position model. The record is from RNAcentral.